GUCUUCUGCAGCUUAUGCUGCUAAACGAGGGGCUGCUGGUUCAAAGAUGCACCUUCUGCUGGACACUUUAAAUGACCCACAGAGCAUUGAGGAAAAAAGGGAUACAGUUGUCUGCUGCCUCAUUAACUACUUUGGUGAAAGACCAGAAGAUCUUUUCCAUGACUGCCAGGAAUGUGAGGACCACACAGACAAAACAAUGAAGGUGAUCGUGAUGCACAACAUCAUGGCUGAGGAGGAUCCAUCAGAUUGUGAUUGAGGGAAACCAAGUGAUGGAAGGAUGUGGAAGCCGAACAAAGACGUGUACUGCUGAUGGGACUCAUAUUUGCCCUGA
Long non-coding RNA from Poeciliopsis prolifica (blackstripe livebearer), 331 nucleotides. RefSeq lists it as uncharacterized. NCBI's taxonomy places the organism in Eukaryota, Metazoa, Chordata, Actinopteri, Cyprinodontiformes, Poeciliidae. The transcript has 3 exons. The record is from RefSeq and is a predicted model, not a curated record.